UCUAAAAACUUUGACGAAGGUCACAACGCUUAUGAUAAUUUUUUUAUUGAACAAAAUAAUUUUUUUAAAAAUAAAAUUCAAAUUAAAAGCUGCAAAAAUAUCGUGAUUUGAAACUUUAGGAAAAAAAUUGAAUGCCUCAUGAAAGUACAUGACAAUUUUUAGUAGUUUUUUUAUUGUUUUCCUCUGCAUUCGUCUUGUUUCAAAAAUUUUUGAACUGCGACAAAAUUAUACAGUAUAUAUAAGAAAGUGUCAAAGAGUAUAGAAACGUUUGCAUUGGCAGAACAUUUUGAAAAUUUAAACUUCAAUAACUGCAAUCCACACGUAUAUAUAAUAUAACAGCAAAUUGAGUGAAAAUAACAACAAUGUUGAAAAUUUACUGGCUGUUAUUUAUUGUAACAUUUUUAUUAUUUACUAAUGAGUGUCAUGCUGAAUGUUGUUAUCCAACUGGCGACGGUAGUAGAUCUUGCAAGAUGAAUAGAGAAAAGUGCUCUGUUUGUAAGGAUGGAAAUGAAGUUGUAAAAGGAUUUUAUUGUGGUGUUGGACCUUGUAAUAUUUUUGGAUGUAACUGUGAGGGUGGCUGUAGACGUAAAAAAAAUUGACAAAAUUAUUUUUAUCGAAAUUAUUCACUAUGAAUGAAUAAUUAUUGUUAUUUUACAAAUUUUAUUUGUAAAUAAAGUGAAUUGAUACAAAAAAUUA
Molecule: long non-coding RNA, 696 nt
Organism: Leptopilina heterotoma
Lineage: Eukaryota; Metazoa; Arthropoda; Insecta; Hymenoptera; Figitidae
Exons: 2
Source: RefSeq, a predicted model, not a curated record